Molecule: long non-coding RNA, 2527 nt
Organism: Entelurus aequoreus (snake pipefish)
Lineage: Eukaryota; Metazoa; Chordata; Actinopteri; Syngnathiformes; Syngnathidae
Exons: 2
Source: RefSeq, a predicted model, not a curated record
AGGGGGGUUGGGUUUGGUUGAUAUCAGCACUUCAGUCAUCGACAAUUCCGUACUAGAACGUGGUACGUUCUACAGAGCGUGUGGGCGAGCUGUCGCAGCCGGGAUAGGAGCGACAUCUUCUUCUCCACUCCUUUCACGUCCGUCUAUUUCAGCGAAAAAUGUGCGCCCUUUAUCGCGUUCCGAAUGCAGUUUGUUCGGAUAAAUAUCGGAUUAUGCGAAAGAGGCCUGGGUUUAGAUUCCGAGACGUCUGAAUUGGAACAGUUCUUACCAACAUGAAGAAAUGUGAACCACAAAAAAAAAUGGCGGUGUGAACGUAGCCACAUGCUAUGCUAGUAUUCCACUUGAGACUUGCAGGGUAGAUCUUCAAAAUGUACCAAAAACUUCCUCACGCCGACACCAUGGCUCGUUCCUGGGUUUUGCUGCCGACUGAGCACGCCGGACUUCCACAAAGGUCAGGACCACGACCUGGGAUCUCACCUGUAAACAAGCGAUCAUUUUAUACGCGGACUUUCAGCCUGAAUCCCAGGCAGGACCCAGAACCUUUUGUCAGGUGACCAAAUAUGGCGGCUCAACCACUUUAGUGCCCUCUAGUGCCUUACGAGGUCAUUGCAGGGUUUGCCACGUGGCUUUAUGCACUUCGCUGGGGCAAACUCAACCAGCGUCUAUAUCAGGGGUGUCCAAACUUAACCCGGCGAGGACCCGUUCCUCGGUGAGGGGAGGUUUCGUCAUUUUGCAACGCGUUCCGCUGGAAACGAUGGAAAGCGCCACUCGACAUGGCAAAGUUAAAACACAUUUUAAGACAUUCAGAACUCUGCUGCCAUCUGGCGGCUAAAGUGGAUAUUGGAAAUUUGUCACGUUUCAUGUGUCGGGUAAAUGUGGCCAUAUGAAUCCCCUUCCUACUGUACUUCAACUUUUAUAAGCAAUUCCCCCACCCAAUAAGAAAUAAUGUAAAUCCAAUUAAUGUGUUCCAGUCAAAAAUAUGAACACGAAACACAUUCUUUAUAGAAUAUUACAAGUUUCACAUGCAAAAAUUGUUUCCCGCCUCACUCUAUCACAGAUUGUCUUGUUUUUUUUUCCUUUUAAAAACCUAUUCUACAUGUUUUUGGCCUACAUUCAGCAUUUUCAAGCAUAAAAAUACAUUUUGUGGGCUAAAAAAAUCGGAAUACUACUUUAUCAUUGGCCAUUAAGACCUCUAAAGGCUUAGUGGCCACGUGCGUGGACAGCACCUUUUAGCUCUUAUUUCCAAAAUUGUGUACACUACUGAAUUGGAGUCUUAUGGCCACUUAUGUGGACACUUAUACUGCCAUCUGGUGGUGUCAGAAGAGUAUAACAUACAAUGGAAUUUGGGGGGGGGGGAGUGUAAAAAUAAGAAUUAGCAUGUCACUAAACAUGAAGUACACGUUUGUGUACUUAUGGACUAAGUACAUCAUAUUAAAAUAUGAUUCUUAGUUUGUAUUCUAAUUAGGGUCCAAUAAGCCCAAAUAGCAAAGAGAGAUAAAAAACAAAAGCAUGUAAACAAACAGCUUGGGCCUUAAGAGGUUAAAGGACAGCAAACAGUGUGGUUCAGUAUCGUGGCCUCUGAUUGGCUUAGCCCCAAGCAUCGGAUUAAAGGAGUUAUUUCAUGUUAUAAAUGGUUGUAAACAGUUUUUUUGCGCUCUCUGAAAAUAUUUGAUCAUUCCUACUUAGAAGGGGGAAAAAAUUCCCAAUUUAGGGAAUCCAAGAGGGAAUACUGCACAUAUAAAUGAUGAAUAAAAUGUAUCAACUAGAAAAUUCCCACGGAAAUUUUGAUGGGUCAGAAUUCCAAUAAAUGUUAAAAAAUGGCCGAGUUUGAUCGAGUAGGCUGAGAUAGGCUCCAGCACCCCCCGCGACCCCAAAAUGGACAAGCGGUAGAAAAUGGAUGGAUGGAGGAAAAUUAGAUUUUUUUGGGGUCAAUUUCGCUGACUUUUGAUGGCCAUCAGAGGCGGAAUGGGACACGUGACCUCCAUAAAAGUGACAUUUUCGUAGAGAGGACGAGUGUGUCAACGUUUUCACCGACACACGUGACAGUGGGAUAAAAGAUGUGGCCGUGACGACAGUUUGUUCCCCAAAAAAAGGGUAUUUCCGGGUCUGCCACCCUCUAGUGUACACCAUCCGCUUUAAUGGUGUACACCAUCCGCUUUAAUGGGGGGAACCCCGAUGGCGCUCGCCUCCUUACGAUGACCAUCCAGCAAAAACCAAACAUUGGACGUCAAAAAAAUUUAAGCCAGGGUUAACGUAGACAAGUGUGUGAACAAAAUGAGACGUUAAACACCGAGCUACGUGAAAGUAUGACUGAGCUACAAGAAGAGGCGAUCUCGCUGUUUUGGCAAAACCCUCCAUUUUAAAAGUUGCCCAUAGCGAUUAAUUUCCGGAAUAGCGUCACCAUGGUAACACGAAAUGAUCCCAACUAUAAAUACUGCCGUCGUCCUCAUCGAGACCUUUCCGACGGUAUAAGAUACGUAGGGGUUUGUUGGUUGGUUCGUUGCGCAUUAAUCGCGAAAGUUUAGGA